This 465-nucleotide ribosomal RNA is filed under the name Vreelandella stevensii. RNAcentral describes it as "partial 16S ribosomal RNA". It matches the Rfam family "Bacterial small subunit ribosomal RNA", at positions 338 to 795 of the family's 1533-position model. The record is from RNAcentral. Lineage: Bacteria; Pseudomonadati; Pseudomonadota; Gammaproteobacteria; Oceanospirillales; Halomonadaceae.
CCUACGGGGGGCAGCAGUGGGGAAUAUUGGACAAUGGGCGAAAGCCUGAUCCAGCCAUGCCGCGUGUGUGAAGAAGGCCUUCGGGUUGUAAAGCACUUUCAGUGGGGAAGAAAGCCUUGGGGCUAAUACCCUCGAGGAAGGACAUCACCCACAGAAGAAGCACCGGCUAACUCCGUGCCAGCAGCCGCGGUAAUACGGAGGGUGCGAGCGUUAAUCGGAAUUACUGGGCGUAAAGCGCGAGUAGGCGGUCUGAUAAGCCGGUUGUGAAAGCCCCGGGCUCAACCUGGGAACGGCAUCCGGAACUGUCAGGCUAGAGUGCAGGAGAGGAAGGUAGAAUUCCCGGUGUAGCGGUGAAAUGCGUAGAGAUCGGGAGGAAUACCAGUGGCGAAGGCGGCCUUCUGGACUGACACUGACGCUGAGGUGCGAAAGCGUGGGUAGCAAACAGGAUUAGAUACCCUUGUAGUC